CUAUGGAGUAUGAAAUCUGGCGAAUUACUAUUCGAAGAUAAAUUCAUGGAUACGAUCCCCACAGUUGUACGCUGGCCAAAAACUGAAGGAGUGGGGAAACAUAUGCAAGGUGCAUGGCUUGGAUCUGAAGAAGGGUUGUUUUUCAUGGACUGGCCUUGAGGCUUGUGUUCUUGGUGAUUUCUUACUUGGAGUAUCUAGAACUUUGCACAUACGUCUAUCACCUGAAGAUGAAUUGAUACAGACAGACAGUAGGCUUCGUCGGCAUUAAUGAAAUCGAGUUUAGGUGAAACUAGGAGCUGAGACUGAAAAUCUUGGCUUGCCUCAAAGAGCUUCUUCCUUCCGAUAUUAUGGAACUUACAGAAGAGUAGCCCUCUAGAACUGAAAUAUCCAGGAUUGUAGGUUUCAACUGAAACAGAGUGUUGUCGAAUUUGUUUAUUAGAUUUAUUUUAUUUUAGUUGCUUUGGCUGAUUAUAUAUCUUCUGGUAUUUUAUGACCUGAAGCAUUGUUUAUAUUGUUGGCUUGUCAAGCAUAGGCAGCUUAGCGUUCA
Molecule: long non-coding RNA, 547 nt
Organism: Nicotiana attenuata
Lineage: Eukaryota; Viridiplantae; Streptophyta; Magnoliopsida; Solanales; Solanaceae
Exons: 2
Source: RefSeq, a predicted model, not a curated record